This 497-nucleotide ribosomal RNA is filed under the name uncultured bacterium. Its description in RNAcentral is "bacterial SSU rRNA". It matches the Rfam family "Bacterial small subunit ribosomal RNA", at positions 21 to 507 of the family's 1533-position model. The record is from RNAcentral.
GGCUCAGAGUGAACGCUGGCGGCAGGCCUAAUACAUGCAAGUCGAACGGCAGCACGGCAGAGCUUGCUCUGUGGGUGGCGAGUGGCGGACGGGUGAGGAAUACAUGGGAAUCUGCCCAGUCGUGGGGGAUAACGUAGGGAAACUUACGCUAAUACCGCAUGCGCCCUUCGGGGGAAAGCCGGGGACCUUCGGGCCUGGCGCGAUUGGAUGAGCCCAUGUCGGAUUAGCUAGUUGGCGGGGUAAUGGCCCACCAAGGCGACGAUCCGUAGCUGGUCUGAGAGGAUGAUCAGCCACACUGGAACUGAGACACGGUCCAGACUCCUACGGGAGGCAGCAGUAGGGAAUAUUGGACAAUGGGCGCAAGCCUGAUCCAGCCAUGCCGCGUGAGUGAAGAAGGCCCUCGGGUUGUAAAGCUCUUUUGUCCGGAAAGAAAAGCGCCGGGUUAAUACCCUGGUGUCCUGACGGUACCGGAAGAAUAAGCACCGGCUAACUUCGUG